Molecule: ribosomal RNA, 375 nt
Filed under: uncultured bacterium
Lineage: Bacteria
Description: bacterial SSU rRNA
Rfam family: Bacterial small subunit ribosomal RNA
Source: RNAcentral
AUACGAAGGGGGCUAGCGUUGCUCGGAAUUACUGGGCGUAAAGGGAGCGUAGGCGGACAGUUUAGUCAGAGGUGAAAGCCCAGGGCUCAACCUUGGAAUUGCCUUUGAUACUGACUGUCUUGAGUAUGGGAGAGGUUAGCGGAACUCCGAGUGUAGAGGUGAAAUUCGUAGAUAUUCGGAAGAACACCAGUGGCGAAGGCGGCUAACUGGCCCAUUACUGACGCUGAGGCUCGAAAGCGUGGGGAGCAAACAGGAUUAGAUACCCUGGUAGUCCACGCCGUAAACGAUGAGAGCUAGUUGUCGGCACGCAUGCGUGUCGGUGACGCAGCUAACGCAUUAAGCUCUCCGCCUGGGGAGUACGGUCGCAAGAUUAAA